This 253-nucleotide ribosomal RNA is filed under the name uncultured bacterium. Its description in RNAcentral is "partial 16S ribosomal RNA". It matches the Rfam family "Bacterial small subunit ribosomal RNA", at positions 524 to 776 of the family's 1533-position model. The record is from RNAcentral.
UACGGAGGGUGCAAGCGUUAUCCGGAAUCAUUGGGUUUAAAGGGUCCGUAGGUGGAUGAUUAAGUCAGAGGUGAAAUCCUGCAGCUCAACUGUAGAAUUGCCUUUGAAACUGGUUAUCUUGAGUCAUUAUGAAGUAGUUAGAAUAUGUAGUGUAGCGGUGAAAUGCAUAGAUAUUACAUAGAAUACCAAUUGCGAAGGCAGAUUACUAAUAAUGUACUGACACUGAUGGACGAAAGCGUGGGGAGCGAACAGG